GAAAAAAAUAUUUUUCUACAAUACUACCAGAACGUAUAGUAGUUAAAAAUAUAGUUAUACCUACUAAAAUCCGGUAGUAAUAACAAAAAAUGAUGUAUCGUGUAAAACUUGUUUUUUAAACAUCACUGUUUAAUUCUAGUUAAAUGCAAUUUAGUACUGCUUACAAUUUCGUUGUAUAUUUAAAGAUGCAAGUGUUGUAAAUAUUAAACGUUUGUCUCGUUUAAUAUAUGCAUCGUAACACUAACUAUUGAUAUGUAAAAAUAAAGAUACGAGUGUACACGUUACAAGUUAUUAUGUUAUGGCUACUAUAAUGCAUUGUAUUCUGAACAAAUAAAACAGUUGUGCCAACACCAUGGUGUAUGCGCCGGUGGCGGGGGGGGGAAGGAAUUGCGCAAGUCACGGAACAGCCAUUGCCCCAGCGUCUUUCGUUGCGACGGUCGGUGUUUUUAUUUACUUAGAUCCUGUCCAUAAUUUAACUGUAAACUAGUACAAGUGUAUAGUAUAAGUGUGCUUAAAAACUUGUCUGUUUUGUGAACAUGGACGAAGACCUAAGAAACCAUCUAAUAACGUGGAACCUGGAGGAAUAUACGGAAAUUUUCGAAAGUGCAGCCACUACUCUAAAAGUAUAACCAAAUCCCUCGUGGGGGGCAGUCUUGUUAACCUAACCUGCUAGACCCUUUAAUUUAUACUGUUCUUGAUAUACUUUAAAUAAUUUGAAGAUGCUUUAUAAUUAUCAUUAUUUAGAAAACCAAUAAUAAAGCGUUUGAUUUUA
Long non-coding RNA from Cydia pomonella (codling moth), 772 nucleotides. RefSeq lists it as uncharacterized. The transcript is spliced from 2 exons. NCBI's taxonomy places the organism in Eukaryota, Metazoa, Arthropoda, Insecta, Lepidoptera, Tortricidae. The record is from RefSeq and is a predicted model, not a curated record.